GAUGAAGAACGUAGCGAAAUGCGAUAAGUAGUGUGAAUUGCAGAAUUCAGUGAAUCAUCGAAUCUUUGAACGCACAUUGCGCCCUCUGGUAUUCCGGAGGGCAUGCCUGUUCGAGCGUCAUUAUAACCACUCAAGCUCUCGCUUGGUAUUGGGGUUCGCGGUUCCGCGGCCCCUAAAAUCAGUGGCGGUGCCUGUCGGCUCUACGCGUAGUAAUACUCCUCGCGAUUGAGUCCGGUAGGUCUACUUGCCAGCAACCCCCAAUUUUUACAGGUUGACCUCGGAUCAGGUAGGGAUACCCGCUGAACUUAAGCAUAUCAAUAAGCGGAGGA
RNAcentral lists this unclassified non-coding RNA (329 nucleotides) under soil metagenome. RNAcentral describes it as "partial contains 5.8S ribosomal RNA, internal transcribed spacer 2, and large subunit ribosomal RNA". The stretch from base 1 to 120 matches the Rfam family "5.8S ribosomal RNA", at positions 35 to 154 of the family's 154-position model. The record is from RNAcentral.